Molecule: transfer RNA, 144 nt
Filed under: Caudoviricetes sp.
Lineage: Duplodnaviria; Heunggongvirae; Uroviricota; Caudoviricetes
Description: tRNA-OTHER
Source: RNAcentral
GGAGAAGUGGUGUAAUUGGUAGGCACGCCGUGGGUAGCGCGGUGAGUGUAAUAGAAAUAGGAAGUUGGUGCUUUUCCACCUUAGCAGUCAUGCUAUAGUAACAAGCCGAAUAAACUCGUCCCGGUUCGAGCCCGGGCUUCUCCU